AUGAGAUUUAAAAUCAUUUUGAUGAUUUCUCUAAGAUUAUGUUGAGUUUCUAAAACUUGGUUUGUGUUAAAUCUGUUCAUUGAUUUGGAGACUGACAGAUAUAAAAGAUGUAAAACUUUUUUACAUGUUCAUAGCCUUCUAUGAAGAGUGUGGAAGAAUCACAACAAUGAAGAGAAGAUAUGUUUCUUGGGGAGCAUGUUCAAUCUAAUUCAAGUAGAUACAUGGAGUCGUGAAGAUAAAUUCUGAUCACACCGCAUUCUGGUCAUCAUUACCUAGUUGAAGAGGUUUAUUGGAGAAGAACUAUCAGUGUUUUAAAGCAGUGGUCUUCAAACGGGGGCACACAAAGACUUUCCAAGGGGGGUACAUAAAUAUAAAUAGUUUUAAGGUAA
This 389-nucleotide long non-coding RNA is filed under the name Homo sapiens (human). RNAcentral's name for it is "HSALNT0306724". The record is from RNAcentral. Lineage: Eukaryota; Metazoa; Chordata; Mammalia; Primates; Hominidae.